GACGAACGCUGGCGGCGUGCUUAACACAUGCAAGUCGUACGGUAAGGCCCUUUCGGGGGUACACGAGUGGCGCACGGGUGAGUAACACGUGAGUAACCUGCCCACAACUUUGGGAUAACGCUAGGAAACUGGUGCUAAUACUGGCUAUGUGCUCCUGCUGCAUGGUGGGGGUUGGAAAGCUCCGGCGGUUGUGGAUGGACUCGCGGCCUAUCAGCUUGUUGGUGGGGUAGUGGCCUACCAAGGCGGCGACGGGUAGCCGGCCUGAGAGGGUGACCGGCCACAUUGGGACUGAGAUACGGCCCAGACUCCUACGGGAGGCAGCAGUGGGGAAUAUUGCACAAUGGGCGCAAGCCUGAUGCAGCAACGCCGCGUGCGGGAUGACGGCCUUCGGGUUGUAAACCGCUUUCGCCUGUGACGAAGCGUGAGUGACGGUAAUGGGUAAAGAAGCACCGGCUAACUACGUG
Molecule: ribosomal RNA, 464 nt
Filed under: uncultured bacterium
Lineage: Bacteria
Description: partial 16S ribosomal RNA
Rfam family: Bacterial small subunit ribosomal RNA
Source: RNAcentral